GAAGGAGAAGGAGGAGAUGCUGCUGACCGGCUGGGCAUCCUUCAUAAUGUAUGGAGAGGACAAAGGGCGCACGGGUGGAUUUCAGCCUCAACUUUGACAGAGCCGUAACCCAAACCUGUCUUAUCCCACUCCAGUGGACUCGCGUCAGCUGAAAGGAUGAUGACACUUUUUCCACUUGCAAUCUGUCUAAUAAUCACCGACAGCAGGUAAAUGAGCUCUGGAGGGACAUCUGCGUGCUGGUAUAAAACAAGGAGUAGAGGAGGCCUAGGUUAGGAGACACUUUCGGACCUGUGCAGGGAUGAGAGCGCGGAACUUGAGGCCUGGCUGCGGCGGUGAGCCACACCCGCUGGAUGCUGAAAAUCCUCUGCUGCCCCAAACCAGCAAGUAUCCGCGAGGGAGGGAGACGUGGAGCCCAGGAGAAUAAUCUGAUCCUGUUUGGACUCCCAGUCGGGAAAUUUUGGUCACCUUCAUUACAGUUUAAAAAUAUUUUGAAAAUAUUUUACUCCUGGAUUGUUUGAAGGGUGGGUUCAGCGAAGAAGCUUCUUCAGUUUUUCUAACUGAUGGGGUUUUGAGCGCUAUAAGGAUACUACAUGAUCAAGUCCGAAUGCCGUGAGAGUCCAUUAUGGCCGACUGCAGAGGACCUGAGGUUAAGUGGUGCCAGAAGAGAGAGGAAAGAGGGAGGCCGACAUGCUGACAGCUGGUACGAGUGAUUAGACCGUGCAGUGAUGCAGGGAAGGCAUCAAAGCUCUUUAGGGAGAAUCCCUUAGUGGGAGGACACAAUGAUACACACACACACACACACACACACACACACACACACACACACACACACACACACACACACACACACACACACACACACACACACACACACACAGAGGAAUGAAAUCCUGAUACACAACUUCCUGGUUGCUAAAACUGCUUACAAACUCAGCUUACCACAUCCAACAGCAUAGGCUGCACUGACCAUCUGUCUUCUGCAGAUGCAUCACCAACCAAUGGAUUAUCAGCAGCUCUGCCCUAGGACACACACCCCUCUUUCACACACAUACUAACCCCCCUCUGAUUUCGAGAGUCUGGUAAUACAACAGAAUGAGUGGUAUCAUUAGAUUAGAUUGGGUGUGGAAGUUAUGGAAGGAUCUCCUCAUUAAUCACACGCGCUAAUGGCAGUUUAAUAGCUGUUGUCUCAACUGCUUCUUUCCGUUGUACAUCACUGUGCAGCUCCUCUGUUACAAUAAAAGUGUUUUAAUCUCAACAGGAUGGUAAGUGUUGAUUCAUUUGAGAUUAUCUCACAAUACAAACGACCAAAAAAUGCUUGAGGAAGUCAAAGAAAAGCUGGGAUUUGGAAGCAAAACUUGUUUUUCGGGUAAAUUUUAUUGUUACGUUAUCAGAGUAUUAGAUGCAGCAUUGUGAGCUUUAGUCUGCUGCCAUAAAGAAUCGUAUUAUAUAGUUAAAGAAGUAUAGAGGCCAUGCACUAUAAACACACACGCGUACAAAGAGGAAGACUGGAUUACAAUAAUCCAGGGACUGGGGGUAUUUUUAGGACUACAUGACCAGAGGCAGACACUUGAGGAAAACAGAUAAUCACUGUCAUAUGACCAGCUGGAUUUUCUGGAUAUACAGUUAAUUACGUAGUGUCUGCGAGGAACACAUGUAGAGCGAAUGAUGUCAGUACAAAAUUAUUUUGACUGCCUCCCUUAGUUAUGUUGCAAUAAGUCAGGGCUGCUGGGGGCUUUAUAUUAGCAAGCCAAAGUGCUCAUAUGGGGUCUAAUUGUUGGGGUUUCUAUGUUUCCCAUGUUUCCCAAGUACUAAGUAAAUUGUUACACUACUCACUACAGUACUUUCUCAUUACUCCAUAAAAUGACCUCAAAUGCAAUGUCUCAUAACUAUCACGUAACAAUAUAAAACUUUAGGCUACAGUCCCACACACUAAUACCAACAUGAAUCCCUAUCCUAAUGAAGACACAUGUACAAUCUUUCUUUUAGUAUUUACAUAUGAACGUGAAGGUGUGACAACAAAAGUAAAGAUUAAAAAAAUCUUUACUUUUGUUUGAACUUAUUGUGAUUGUUUCUGUCCUGGCAACAGUUUGCCCGUUACCAUCACACUUUUGUCCCUUUUCUGGAAUAAAAAUAAAAGUGCUGUCUAUAUUUCUGCUCCUGAAAAGCUGUGUCUCUGUACUGCGCCACAAUUUUCCUCCUCCAGCAUACGAAAUGAAAGCAUCUGAGUGCAGUGCAACCGUGCAGGAAAAAAAAAUGCAUGUUUGCUUUAUGAUUUUUUUUCUAUCGACCUGGCGUGCAGAUAUCUGAAGAAUCUUUGUGGCACAAGUAACAACAUAAAUGCAACUUUAAGGUAAUUACUGAAUUUAGUAAUACAUUCCAUCAAGUUACAGUACUGCACUUUUACCCUAACCUUUAGCAAAGCCUUCACCUUAAAAUUUGGUGAUAUAUGUUAUGGGGACUUAUUGACCUCACAAUGGAGGUAGCCCACAUAUUGUGACUGUGUGGCUUCAUGUCCCCAAAGCACAGUAUUAACACACACACACACACACACACACACACACACACACACACACACACACACACACACACACACACACACACACACACACACACACACACAGGUUUCAGAUACUCCAUACAAGGAUAGCAGCACUGAAGGCUCUGACAGUGACACAUUGUUGUGUCCACACAUACUAUUGCAUUUGUUCUGUAGAUGCAUUUACCAGAAGCGCUAGAGGGCGCUAGUGAGUAUGUUGUUCUGGUUGUGGUUUUGAAGAAGAAAAAAGAAAAAUAAAGAAAGGAGUCAACUCCGGUAAUCCUCUGUUCCUACCUGCGUGUGUGUGUAAUGCUUGCUGAACUAACACCACACAACACACAUACAAGCAAUUAGGACCACAGCUUACCAAACGAUAAUGUUACUAUUCCUCCUCCUAGUGGGUGAAACUCACAGUGCACAGUCUUUGUCAAGCUCUGGCUAAAUUGUUAAGCUGGUAGUGCAAUCCCUGGCAACUAAAGUGUGAACCCCAAGUUGCUCUCAGAUGCAUUUUUUUGGUGUGUGAAUGUUAAACAGAAAGCACUAGCGUGAAGGGGAAACAUGGCUUUUGUGAAUGAGGCAGAACCAGCCCAUUUACUAUAUAUUUUAAUUCUUGGAAACCAGAA
Long non-coding RNA from Astatotilapia calliptera (eastern happy), 3159 nucleotides. The record is from Ensembl. NCBI's taxonomy places the organism in Eukaryota, Metazoa, Chordata, Actinopteri, Cichliformes, Cichlidae.